This 200-nucleotide ribosomal RNA is filed under the name uncultured bacterium. RNAcentral describes it as "partial 16S ribosomal RNA". It matches the Rfam family "Bacterial small subunit ribosomal RNA", at positions 8 to 240 of the family's 1533-position model. The record is from RNAcentral.
AGAGUUUGAUCAUGGCUCAGAGCGAACGCUGGCGGCAGGCUUAACACAUGCAAGUCGAGCGCCCCGCAAGGGGAGCGGCAGACGGGAGAGUAACACGUGGGAACAUACCUUUUGGUUCGGAACAACUGAGGGAAACUUCAGCUAAUACCGGAUAAGCUUACGGGGAAAGAUUUAUCGCCGAAAGAUUGGCCCGCGUCUGA